RNAcentral lists this ribosomal RNA (774 nucleotides) under uncultured Neocallimastigales. RNAcentral describes it as "partial large subunit ribosomal RNA". It matches the Rfam family "Eukaryotic large subunit ribosomal RNA", at positions 24 to 631 of the family's 3401-position model. Lineage: Eukaryota; Fungi; Neocallimastigomycota; Neocallimastigomycetes; Neocallimastigales. The record is from RNAcentral.
UAUGUGAUCGUCUCUCGCAUAUCAAUAAGCGGAGGAAAAGAAACUAACAAGGAUUCCCCUAGUAACGGCGAGUGAAGCGGGAAGAGCUCAAAUUUGAAAUCUUAAAGGGUUUCCCUUUACGAAUUGUAGUUUAAAGAAGUGUUUUCUGUUGAGGUUUUGGUAAAAGUUCUUUGGAAUAGGACAUCAUAGAGGGUGAGAAUCCCGUAUUUGACCUUUACUUUCAACUUUGUGAUACACUUUCAAAGAGUCGGAUUGUUUGGGAAUGCAGUCCAAAAUGGGUGGUAAAUUUCAUCUAAAGCUAAAUAUUGGCGAGAGACCGAUAGCGAACAAGUACCGUGAGGGAAAGAUGAAAAGAACUUUGAAAAGAGAGUUAAACAGUACGUGAAAUUGUCAAAAGGGAAGCGUUUGACACCAGUGUUGUUUUUCUGAAAAUCAAUUAAAGAACUGUUUAUGCUAAGUUGUUUAGACUUUAUCAGCUAACUGUUUAGUUUUGAGCUUUUCUUUAAUGCACUUUUCAGUUAACAAGUCAACAUCAAUUUCUUAUGCUGUAAAAAAGCUUGAGGAAGGUGGCUUGAGAUUCGUCUUAAGUGUUUAUAGCCUCUUGCCUAUGCAGUCGGAGAGAUUGAGGUCUGCAGCGUAGAUCCUUCGGGGCUAAAUGCAUUUGUGCUAAGUUAUAGCAUUUUAUAGACAACUUGUUGACUAUGAUUUGUCUUGUAGCUUACUCGCUUAUGUUAUUUUACCUACGCUUAGGAUGUUGAUCUACAGAGCGAGAGU